UACCCAAAUGAUGGCCCCCGUCAUUCAGCAGAGUAGGGAUGACAACCACGGAUUAUUCUAGACAGUCCUGUGGAACACCAGCAAGCUCACAACUUGUAGGUGUUGUGGACUUGAUGUUCACCGGUGUACUCUAAAAACCAUGUUAGCUAUAGAUUUAGUGCCUCGUAAUAAUACGAUGGUAGCUAUGGAUUUAGUACAGUGUAGAUGAACCUUGGUAACUAUGGAAUUAGUAUUGUUAAAUGAACCUUGGUGACUAUGGAGUUAGCGCCAGUUAAGUGAACCUUGGUGACUAUGGAGUUAGCGCCAAUUAAGUGAACCUUGGUGACUAUGGUGUUGGUGCCUAUUAAGUGAAACCUGGUGACUAUGGAGUUAGCGCCUGAUAGCUAUGGAUUUAGUACCUGGUAGAUAAACUUUGGCAGCAAUGGACUUCGUGCCAAUUCUUUAGGUAAAUCCUUAGGAACGAAUGAAGGAAGGAUAAUCAAUUCUUAGGGUAAAACCUUAAGAAAUAAAGAAGAUAAUGGGGAUGGGUAAUUGGGUUGAUUGUUUGAUGAUUGAAUAUAAUAAAUAUAUUAUUAUGGGUUGAAAACCCUAUAUGCUCACCAGGCUCCCAAGUCUGACCCACUAAGUUUUCUUUGUAUCACUGGUAUCAAUACGAAGACAUAUUUCACUAAGAGAUUAAAGGAGAUGUAAAUCAUUAGUGUAAAUAAAUGUAAGUUCUGUUUAUGCUUAUGUGUCUGUAUCGGAACAUGACAUCCCGAGAUUUUGUUAUAUAAUGAAAAUACAUUUCUUUAAAGAAAUGCUUUGAUAAAUUCUUAUCAUAUUUUGUUUUGGGAACAAAAUCCGCAACAGUUUUCUUUAAACGAUUACUCUGAUUUUAAAAACAAAGCAUAAACAAAUCGGUCUUUUAUGGCCGUGAAAUUGGGGAUGUCACAGUUGGUAUCAGAGCAUUAGUUUAAGAGAACUAGGAAUUUGUAGGAUUUCUAGACUCAAACUUAGAAUGGUAAGCGAUGAUAGUGAGAUGAGUGUCUACCAUAUUUUAAGACACGAGCACUAGCAUAUUUUCGGAAAGUUGCCUAAAAUGUUUUUAUGUGCUAAAUGUUAUAUGUUUGCCAUAUAUGAUACUAUUUGUUCGGAUCUAUGGUUUGUUGCCGACCUGGUCUGGAAACCUUAUUUUUUUAGGAUUCUAAGCGUAUGACUAUGAUAUUAGAACUAGCAUGUAAAAAUUUCGGAGUGAUAAGGAGAUUUAUACGUCUAUCAUAAAUAAAACUUUUUAUCUUAAAUUCUCUCCCGAUACACCGAACGUCUGCUUGGGUGUGCAAAACGUUAUGGAGAAGAAUCGUAGAUAAUUGAGUAAAUGGAGGAAAUGAAAGGCUUAUGAUAGUGAAUGACGCCUAUCGGAAGAUAUCGUAAGAGUGGUAUCUUACCUUUAGAAUAUGUUUGAUAAAAUAACAGAACGUUUAGAGGAGUACGGUACGUCUGAAGUACACCUUCGAUUGUUAGGAUGAUGGAAUGAUUGGUGUAAUUCUUGAACUUGUCCCAUAAUCUGGAAUUUCCAUCACCAACCGGGUUGAAGCAUGAUUGAUGAUAGAAGAUACGCAUGGAAGAAGUCCUAGUAGAGUCUAGGAAAAAUUUUAUGAUUAAUUGGACACAUUCGUAUGUGUUAAAUUGUUUUGUGAUUUUAGGACUUGGGGACUGCGAGACAAUACUUAGGAUGAGUAUGAGUAGGUGUGAAUAGUAGUAGAGAUCUAUACUACUGAAAGCACAGGACUCACACUUGGAUCAGGGAAAGUCACAAGGUUACCAAGAAGCUAGUAAUUGAUUCCGUUUUGUUCAAAGUAUGUCAUUACCAUUGUUUCGGUAAUGACUAGUCGGAUGAUUGUUAUUCCGACCCUAGUGGUCAUAUCAAUUGAGUCCGAAUACGAUAGGUUUGUUACGUGGUUCUGAGAACCGAGUUCGAUGUAACAUCUGACCUAAGUCAGAAGAUUGAAAUCAAUGCGAUCGAUAGCAUCGCGCUCGUUGUUAAGGAAGCUUGUAGCUAGAAAUGCUACAUGCAAAAAUGUGAUCAUGUCACAUUAGAAUAUGAAGGAAUGUAUAUUCCAUUAUGGAAUUUGUCUCUAAGAGACUUGAGUCUAAGCGUUGCAUCAUACGAUGAGAUGUCAUUAGAGCAUGACCCAUCGGUCUGUUACAAUAGAUAAAAGAAAGUAUUUAUCUUAAUAAGAAGAAUGAGUCCUCAAUAAGGAUUUAUUUUGUAACUCGUAGGUUACGAUUGAAAGUCCAACAUAGUACGGAGAGUAGGUGCAAGAUUGAGCAUCACCUGCAGUCAAGAAGUCCAAGAGUUAGACACUCAUUUGAAGAAACAUAUAAGUUACGAUUAUUACCUAGGAUGAAUAAUCAUAACCUAGUUGUAGUAUAUGUCACAAGGUUUCCAUGCAUAUAAAGAACGCCAAAAUUCGAGUUAUAACGAAGAGGUUAUGACAUGUCGAAGUUUAGCGACAGAACCGGCACGAGACAGCGCGGCGUAAAUAGUGAAUUUACGAUAGAGCGAUAUUUGGCCUUAGCGUUCUAAACAAAAGUCGUAGAAUAUGUUAAACCGAGAGUGUGCAUAAAAAGAACGUCCAAAUCUGCCUUCGUAUGAAGAAGUUAUGAUUUUUCUAAGUUUUAGCUUAGCGGUAUGCAACCUAAAGUUCGAAUAUGAGAUCGAGUGGUUUUAGCCAAAACAAUCUAAACGAGAAUCGAAGAUCUCGUCGAUAGUAGUGCAACAGAAGAAAGACAGACGAAAACGGAGUUCAAAUGAAGAAGUUAUGAAUUUAAAACGGAGUUUUCCUGUCCCGACCUACUAAAAAUAAUAUAAUAAAAAUAAAGUCAAAAUUAGCCGACGGAGUCUAAACGAAAGUUGUAGAGCAUAAUCUCACAUACGUGUGGAUAUAAAGAACGUCGAAAACAGAGAUCGUAUGCAAAAGAUAUGAAUUUCUGAAGUUCGAGGCACGUAUCCCAAAGACGGAACGCCCCGCGUUCAAUUAGGGAACGCCCCACGUUCAGUACAUGGCUCCGGAUUGGCCAUGUUGAUGCUGAAUCAGCGGAUAAGGGAAAGGAUCGGAACCCUGCUCCUAUGCGCUGCGUUCGGGGAACGCCCUGCGUUCCCAUAAGAAACGCACUGCAUUCGAGGCCGACUUCAACAAUAUAAAUAGAAGUCGUGGGUAGCCGAGUUUUGUUGCUCAUUUCUUCCUAUCUCUCCUGUUUUACUUCAUUUUAUGUGCAAACUUUACCCCCAAAACCCCGGUAUCAUUCCCGAGACCCGAAGCAAGUCCCGAAGCCCCGAGGAUCCCGAGAAGUAAAGUUUCCGAGCCGAAACUCUGUCCGCGUGAAGCCCGGUUUUUGGGAAAAUGUCCUGGUUUUAUUGGAAAAGAUUAUUUUAAGAGACGAGGUGCUGUCCGAUCAUCGUCUUAUCAGGUGAGUGUGUAGUUACUUUCUUCUACCGCAUACAUAUGAAGUAUUUGCUAUGAAAUACAUGUUAUGUGUUUAUACGUUGUUUGUUUAUGUGAGAUGGAUGUAGAAUGAAUGUUUUAUACAGGUUUUUAAAUGAUUUAAACUAUAUAUGUAAUUUAUAUCUACAAAUAUGUUGGGUAGAACAUGGAUAGAUGAAACAGUUGGUGUGUGAGGAAAGAUUAGUUUGAGGAUGAGACAAAAGAUGAUAUAGAUCAUGAGAUGAGGGUGACAGGUCAAAAAUGAGUGAAACCUUUACCCAAACGAUGGCCCCCGUCAUUCAGCAGAGUAGGGAUGACAACCACGGAUUAUUCUAGACAGUCCUGUGGAACACUAGCAAGCUCACAACUUGUAGGUGUUGUGGACUUGAUGUUCACCGGUGUACUCUAAAAACCAUGUUAGCUAUAGAUUUAGUGCCUCGUAAUAAUACGAUGGUAGCUAUGGAUUUAGUACAGUGUAGAUGAACCUUGGUAACUAUGGAAUUAGUAUUGUUAAAUGAACCUUGGUGACUAUGGAGUU
This 4002-nucleotide long non-coding RNA is filed under the name Lactuca sativa (garden lettuce). Its description in RNAcentral is "long non-coding RNA (LSAT_LNC006384)". Lineage: Eukaryota; Viridiplantae; Streptophyta; Magnoliopsida; Asterales; Asteraceae. The record is from RNAcentral.